Heterocephalus glaber (naked mole-rat) is the source of this 1648-nucleotide long non-coding RNA. Lineage: Eukaryota; Metazoa; Chordata; Mammalia; Rodentia; Bathyergidae. The record is from Ensembl.
GAGAGAACCCUGAUGAUUAAGUCUGUAAACAUCUCAAAAGUUAACACAUAGUUUUCCUUUUAUACAGAGGAGUAAAAAAGCUAGAAAGCAAUCAGUGUAAGUAAGGGAUGAGAUGGGUGGUGCAGUCCCAAAGUAGAUGAGAAGGCUCUACCCAGGGCCAGUCUGGUCCAAGGAAGGGUGAGCUGCUGCUGGCUCCGGCUGGUCUAGUUUCUUCAGAGGCCUAGAAGAAGGAGAGAAGCCAAACCAGUUUGGCCAACAAGAAUUUUGUUCCAGCUGAUCACUGGGGGCAAGCAGUUAAGCCAAUUAUUCUUAAAUAUUUUUAUUACUGCCUAUUAAUUUUAAAAAAACAUUGGGUUUCAAUGUGUGUAGUUUGAUCGUAUCCAUUCUCUGUAUUACCCUCCCUUACACCCACCCUAUUCCCUUCCUUUUUUGGUACCGGGGAUCAAACUCAGGACCUUGGGCUUUCAAGGCAGGUGCAGUGCCACUGAGCUAAAUCCCCAGUGCUAGUCCCUUCUAACAAGAAUCCGCCUUCUACUUUCAUGUUCUCUUUUCAGAUUCCAUAAAUAGGGGAGAAAAUGUGCUGCUUGUCUUUCUAAGUAUGGCUUAUUUUGCUUACUAUGAUGAUCUCCAGUUCCAUUCAUUUCCUGCAAAAUGACAUAGUUUCUUUAUGGCUGAAUAUGCCAUACUGUAUAAAUACCACAUUUCUUCUACCCAUUUAUCUGCUGAUGAGCAUUUAGGUUGAUACCAUAUCUUGGCUAUUGUGAAUAGUGCUCCAGUAAACAUGGAUAUGUAGGUAUCCCUGUUAUAUGAUGACUUUAAUUUCUUUGGAUAUAUAUACCAGGGAGUGGUAUAGCUGGAUCCAAUUGUGGCUCAAUUUUAUUUUUAGAAGUUAGGUUUUUUGCUUUGGGGGCAGUUUUUUGUUGUUUUAGUUUGGUUUUUGUACUGGGGAUUGAACCCUAGAGCCUUCGCACAGAGCUACAGCCUGAGCCCAUUUUUACUUUUAAUUUUGAGACCAGGUUUUGCUAAAUUGCUCAGUCUGAACUCAAACUUGCAAUCCUCCUGCCUCAGCCUCCCAGAUUGUUGGGAUUACAGGUAUGCAUCACUGUACCUGGCAUCUAUUUUUAGUUGUUAUGAGGAACCACCAUACUGAUUUCCACAGGGGCUGUGCUAAUUUACUUCCCACCAGUUGUGUAGAAUUCCUUUUCUUCUCUGCAUCCUUACUAGCAUUUACUUUUUGUUUUUUUAAUUUAUUGUUUUUUGGUUCUCAUUUCACAGAAAAGGUGUAAUAAAACAAGCAGAUGGUGGGUUAGAAGGGGGUCUGGUGGCUCCUACUUGUAAUCCCAGCACUCGGGAGGCAGAAGCAGGAGGAUCAACAGUAGUUGACGGCCAGCCUGGGCUACACAGGUGAGAGACAGGUGCCCCGUUUCAAUUUUCUACAUAUGAACAUCCAGUUUUCCCAGCACUGUUUGUUAAAGAGGCUGUCUUCUCCCCGCUGUGUUCUUAGGCUCCUUUGUCAAGAAUCAGACGAUGGUAAGCUUGUGGGUUUGUUUAUGUGUUCUCUUUUCUGUGUUGCUCUAUGUGUCUAUCUUUGUGCUAGUACCAUACUGUUUUUGCUCCUAGACUAAUUUGAAGUCAGGAUUGUGCUGCC